CAGCGUUGUGAGUGGAUGUAAAGGGGGUCCCAUAUAUAUCCAAUCACGAUGCGGGUGGCCGUGCCGCUCCACUCAUCUGUUUUCGUUUUGGAUCGAGGCGUUCUGGCGCCAAAUCUUAGCUUCCCUAUUUAUUAGCCCCCCUCCCCAAGAAAUGCUCCUUCCCCAAUUUCUUGUUCCUCCGGCGACCCUCCUCCAUCUCCCCUCUCCGAGCCUCCGUCUCUCCCUCGCCCCCGCGGGUGGCGGCGAGCCAUGGCUGAACACGGCUUCAAGAUCGAGAUCGCCUUCGUCGGGAGGUUAGCGACCAUCGCCAUUGCCGGCUGCUUCGCGGAGCUUUGCAUCGUUCCAUCGGACACCAAGGCCUUCACCCACAGCCACCCCCAAUUGUUGGGUAACUUUGGAGGUAUGGAUAGAUAGGUUAAAUCCUUGUAUGUUGGUGAAAUUUUCAUGGGAGAUGUUCCUUUGACCAAGAAAAUUUUUUGCUGGGCUAAACAACUGGUUGGCUAUCCAUGGAUGUUUGAACUUGUGGGUUUGACUGAUGCUGUGUAGAUGGUGUCAGUAGAUCGUAUCGUUCCAGUUCACUUCUUGACCACUAGACAUCCUAACUUGAUCGUUAUAAUAAAAUUAGUUGCCUUGGCAAGUAGUGUGUCAAAUC
Non-coding RNA from Musa acuminata subsp. malaccensis (wild Malaysian banana), 652 nucleotides. Lineage: Eukaryota; Viridiplantae; Streptophyta; Magnoliopsida; Zingiberales; Musaceae. The record is from RefSeq and is a predicted model, not a curated record.